GCCUCUGCACUGGGAUUCCUCCAGCCCCAGCAAGUCCCUCAGGUGGUCCCAGCCUCUGUGUCCGCCUCUGCUCUCCCAGAGCGCCUCAGGCAGAGCAGCCAGGAUGGGGACCAGGCCCGCCUUACCGGGAAUGAGCCUGUCACCUGCUCCUCCCACCCCGCAGCAGCCUCUGUCGGGCUGACAGUGACUUCAGGAAUGCUCUCCUCCUGCCGCACUCUGGACCUGUUGGCCAUGCUGUUCAACUUAGCAAAUGUUCUUCCUCACCGCCAACCACAGUGGCCAGGUGCAAGUCCCUCUUGGACAACCUCAGCCCUGGAUACACCGCCUUAUUUACCACUUCGUGAGCAAAAAUAGUCCUUUUUUUUAAAUGGGGUCUCCUUCUGUUGACCAGGCUGGAGUGCAGUGGCGCAAUCACAGUUCACUGUAGCCUGACCUCCUGGGCUCAAGCGAUCUUCCCCUCAGCCUCCCAAGUAACUAGGACUACAGGUGCAUACCACCAUGCCCAGCUAAUAUUGUUUAUUUUGUGUAGAGACAGGGUCUAGCUAUGUUGCUCAGGCUUGACCUUUAGUUUUUCUCAGAAUUUCAAGAGGUUGUGUCUUAUCUGCCAACAGAUCAUGCAACCAGCAAGGCUCUGGUCCAAGUAGGAACGGAUGGUAAACUGGGCAGUGAUGAUGGUGGAGAUGGUGGUGGUGGUGAUGAUGAUGACAAUGAUAAUGAUGAUGGUGAUGGCAGUGGUGGUAGUGGUGAUGGUGCUGGUGGUGCUGGUGAUAUGAUGAUGGCAGUGAUGGUAGUGAUAAUAGUGAUGAUAAUGUGAUGGUAGUGAUGGUGGUGGCAGUAAUAGUGAUGGUGAUGGUGGCAGAGAGGGUGGUGACAGUGAUGUCAGUGGUAAUGGUGGUGGUGAUGGUAAUGGUGAUGGUGGUGGUGGUGAUGAUGGUGGUGAUAGUGGUAGUGAUGGUGUGGUGGAAAUGAUGGCUGUGAUCGUGAUGAUGAUGGUAGUGAUGGUUACAAUGAUAGUGGUGGUAGUGGUGGUGAUGGCAAUGAUGGUAUUGAUGGUGAUGGUGGUGGUGGUGGUAGUGAUGGUGGUGGUGGUAGAUGGUGGCAGUGAAGACGGUGGUAAUGGUAGAUGGUGGCAGUGAAGAUGGUGGUAAUGAUGGUAAUGGUGAUAGUGGUGCUGGUGGUGAUGGUGAUGGUGGUGGUGGUGGUAGUGAUGGUGAUGAUGAUGGUGAUAGUGAUGGUGGUGGUGGUGGUGGUGCUGUUAGUGGUGGUGGUGGUGUUGCUGGUGGUGUUGGUGAUGGUGGUGGUGGUGGUGGUGAUGGUCAUGGUGGUGGUGGUGGUGGUGGUGGUGAUGGUGGUGGUGGUGGUGGUCAUGGUGAUGGUGGUGAUAGAGCCAAGAGGCUCUUGGGACCAUAUGGCUGGGACUGAAGGCAGUGUAGACACAGCUGACCCUUCAUGAGGGCUCUGCCUGGCUCUAGUAGCUUCUAUCCUGAAAGCCUGGUGAGUGUCUGAAGGAUGGUCCCCUUGUUAAGUGAGGGCAGGCUUGUGGAUUUCAGGGGCCCCAGAGGCCUGGGAGGACAUUUAGUGGGGGCGGGGUCCUCACCAAAGACUCAAUGGGCUCUGGAGUUCCUGUGUCUCCUGAGACCUGCGCCUGACGUCACCCUCUGGAUGGCCUCUGGCCUCUACCUGGGCUGGGGUGUCCCAGGAACAGAGAAGGACCCAACUAUUGUUGGGGACCCCAGCACUCUCUGUCCAACCGAGCCUGGGGCCUGGGUGGCAAAUGUGGGCAUUGCGAGAGUGGCAGGACUGGGAGGAGGCCCAAGCCCUGGGUAGGGCCUGGGGGGUGCCAGGUCCACACCUCCGAGGUGGUGAGUGGUGCAGACAGCUGGUGCCUGUGGGUCCCUAACAAAUGCAGCUGAGAAGUGGGCCCUCAGAUGUCCACGUGGCAUAACCCUGCUGUGACUGAAGCCGCCAGCCUGGAUUGAACAUUCUUCAAGAUUUCUGCCUUCAUUUAACAAGUAUGUGUGUCACUCGUGUUGUGAGCCAGGCACUCCAUGCAGCCAGAUCAAGGCAGGGAAGUCCCUGCCCAGGAGUACUCAUGUCCCAGUAGAGACAGAGGCCACAGGGCUUGCCCUGUGAAGCCAGCAGGCCCUGGGGGCUGGCUGUGAUGAGGACCUCCGAGUCCUUUGGGGAAUCUGCUGCCCAAGUCAGACCCAGAUGGAAGCCUGGAGCUGCCCCGCAGGAGCAGGGAGGGAGUGCUCUGUCCUGAGGUAUACAGCUUUUACUAGCUCCGAUGGGGUGCCUCUUGGGGUCCCCCAGCCUGGGAAAGAGGCGCCAUCAGCUCUAGGAGGCUGAGAGCCUGGAGUCUUGGCCUCUGAAGGCUGCGUUUCCUGGAUGGCAAAGUCCAGCAGGACCCUGGCACCAGGGGUCCUUGGGCAGGCAGUUGGUCCUAGGCAAAGAAAAAAGGGCAGAGCUGCCCUAGCUGAGAGGGUGGAAGGCCAUGUGCCCCCCCCAACCACGAUGGGCGCUAGGAGUCAGAUACAAUUACUCUCUCAGUGUAUCAUAAUUACUGCAAAUAGCCCAUUAAAGAGAAAUUAUCAUCAAUAUGAUAUUAGCAGACAGCGGGGGAAAUGAAGAAAGAAAAGUGCUUAUUCUCUCAUUGUCCCCUUAAUGGGGACAAGGGGUGGAGAGGCAGUGGCCCCUGUUCACUGACCUCACCUCCCUGCCCACUGCAUGGAGCCACGAAGGACCCGGCAGGCUGGGAGCCAAGGCAUGACCCUGGAAACAGCAGUGCAGGAAGAGCGGGUGCCAUGGGUGGAGUCGGACCUGCCUCUGCCCACUGUCGGGGGCUCCGCUGUCGCCUCCCAAACCUGGCUUUAGUCCAGCUUGGGUGGCUCGGGCCUCCCUUGAGGUAGCCUCUGCUGCGCCCCCACCCCCACCGUGAACCCUCCAAGGGAAGGCCCUGGAGUAGGAGGGGUCUUGGUUCAGCCUGUCCUGAGCUUGUGGCCCUUUAAAUCCUGGGAACCAGGCUCCACUAGACGUGGCCUCUGGAGCACAGGUCUCUCCCAAACAUCACCAAAAUGACCGAAGAGGAAGAGGGAGGUGCCGUUUGCAGGAAAGAGAGAACGGGAGUGGAGCAGCAGCCACCAGUGAGGGAAGAGGUGGCAAAGUGCUCCAUGGCUGGGGUGCCUAUCUUGGCAGAGUGGAGCAGAUGGUGAGCCAGACGUUCAGCUGGGCCCGGGUGGGCAUCCGUCAGAGCCAUUAGGCCCCUCGCUGUGGCCUCUCCCAGCCACAGGGGACCCUGGGGAAACUGGGCCUGGGACCAGGCUCACUGGAGGGUGGGUAUGAGGCUCUCACUGAAGAUAGGGGAUUGAGUGGCCAUCACAAACCAAGCUCAGCCGCCUGCCCCUCCUUCUCUUAGCAAUGACACCAGCAGCCCAUAGUCCCCAGGCAGGAGAGCAGAGGAGCCUUCCUUGAAAAACUCAAUGGCCAGAGGAAAAAGACCAGCCUCUCAAAAUGAUAGAUUCCCCAUUGCCUGGUCCUCUACAGAAAGGCCCAUCUGCCGACAAGACCACUGCCACCCUCUGCCACCCUCCACCACCCUCCGCCAGGUCACCAGAAUGCCAGGCCUCACUCAUGAUCAGCUGAGCACCAGCAGGCAGGUGAGAAGAGCCUCCAGUGUGGAGCAGGUCAACCAGCAACAGAGCCAGGGAGACCCAUGGAGUCCAGAGAAAACGGUAACAACGGCAGCAGCACCCAGAGACUGGCUCCCAGUGAGUUAAGCCCAGCCGCGACCCUUGGAUGUGCCAGCUGAUUUAAUACUCAUGAUAAACCCAGUAGAUGUGCAUAUAUCACUUCAAAAAAACAAAAGUGGAUGUGGCUGAUGCCAAAGUGACCUGCCCCAGAAGAGCUGCUAACAGAACAGCAUCCCAGGAGGCUGCAGAAGGCUGAAGAGCAGAGCCCACACCUGCUAUGGGCCACAAGAGGCCCUGGAUGCCAUGGAGGCCGCAAGGGCCCAGGCGGGACUUGCAGAAUGAGAGUCCUAGGCCCAAGUAUAGAGUCCCUGGUGGGCACAGAGGAGAGACCAGGUCAGUGGGAGGGGUUGUCAGACCCUGUGGAGUGCCCCACCUGUGUGCCAGGCCCAGAACUGGGCUCAACUCUGAUGGUAGCAGGUGGAAAGUAGACUUCACUACUGUGGGAGUGGGGGCAUUCCUGGACACAGGGGGAAACCAGCUCACAGAACAGCCUGGGGUCUUCUUGGAGGAGGCCAUUUUGGCCCAGAUCCUAAAGGAAGACUGGAAGCCUCAGGGGGCAGUGAGAACAGGGACAAGAGAGGGCAGGUCUCAGGACUGACUGAGCAACUCAGACUGACCUGGAUCAAACUGUGGAGCCGGCGAAGGGUUUAGAGGGUUGCUGCAGGACAGUGGUGUCUGCAAAGACGCCUCUGGCUGCUGUCUGGAAAAUAGACAGGGGAGGCUGGGCAGGGGUCUGGGCAGGGGCUGGACAGGGGUGCUGGGCAGGGGCUGGACAGGGGUGCUGGGCAGGGGCUGGACAGGGGUGCUGGGCAGGGGCUGGACAGGGGUGCUGGGCAGGGUCAGUCCAUCUCCAUCCUGCUUUCCUUUUCUUUCUUUUCAACAAAUAUUGAUGGAGCACCUCCUCGGUGCCAGGCGCUGCUGCAGCCUCUAGGAAAUCAACCGUGGAAACACACGGACCCUGCCCUCCCGGCGCCAGUGUUCUGGUGGUCAGGAGGUGAAGAAAACCAGCAAGAACCAGCACAGGAAUCCGACGGUGGCAGCGCCGAGAGAAACAAGCUUGGAGGGGAAGGAGAGCUACAGAGGCUGCAUGGAUGUGAUGGUUGGAGUGGAAGCUGACAUUGUGGGCCAGGAGACCCUGGGAGUACAGGCCAAGAUGAAAAGAGCCUCAAUCCAGAGCGUUCUGUGAAGCAGUCACCACGGCCACCCUGGGCCAUCAGCUUCUGGACUUUUACAACAUAGAAAUUAAAUUUCCAUUGAAUUUGUUGGAGUCAUUGUUCCUUCAGCUCUCUGUUACCUGCACUUACAUCUCUCUGUGAGUCGCGGAGUCUUGCAGUUAAGGUAUUAAUAUUAUUGCGUCUCAAGGUGCCUCAGGUCAGAGGUUCCAAAGGUGAAUGAGGGCACAGCUCUCCGUCUGAGACUCACGGUGGAGAAGCCUCCUCACCUUGCUCCUUCUCCCUGUCACCAAGAAAGGAGGUCUGGGGGAAGGAAGGGGUCCGUGUGGCCCUCCCGCCCCCACACUGUCCCUCUUGGAUUCUGCUAGCCUGUGGGUGUGGGCAGCAGCUCAGCCUGGCCCUGGAAUUUUCCAUAAAG
This 5339-nucleotide long non-coding RNA is filed under the name Homo sapiens (human). Its description in RNAcentral is "non-protein coding MAFA-AS1:5". The record is from RNAcentral. Lineage: Eukaryota; Metazoa; Chordata; Mammalia; Primates; Hominidae.